GCCCUUAGAGUUUGAUCAUGGCUCAGAGCGAACGCUGGCGGCAGGCCUAACACAUGCAAGUCGAACGAAGUCUUCGGACUUAGUGGCAGACGGGUGAGUAACGCGUGGGAACGUGCCCAUCGGUUCGGGAUAACCAAGGGAAACCUUGGCUAAUACCGGAUACGUGCGAGAGCAGAAAGAUUUAUCGCCGAUGGAUCGGCCCGCGUCUGAUUAGCUUGUUGGUGGGGUAACGGCUCACCAAGGCGACGAUCAGUAGCUGGUUUGAGAGGAUGAUCAGCCACACUGGGACUGAGACACGGCCCAGACUCCUACGGGAGGCAGCAGUGGGGAAUAUUGGACAAUGGGCGCAAGCCUGAUCCAGCCAUGCCGCGUGAGUGAUGAAGGCCUUAGGGUUGUAAAGCUCUUUUAUCCGGGACGAUAAUGACGGUACCGGAAGAAUAAGCCCCGGCUAACUUCGUGCCAGCAGCCGCGGUAAUACGAAGGGGGCUAGCGUUGCUCGGAAUCACUGGGCGUAAAGGGCGCGUA
Molecule: ribosomal RNA, 525 nt
Filed under: uncultured Alphaproteobacteria bacterium
Lineage: Bacteria; Pseudomonadati; Pseudomonadota; Alphaproteobacteria
Description: bacterial SSU rRNA
Rfam family: Bacterial small subunit ribosomal RNA
Source: RNAcentral